AUUGGCGUAUAUUAAAGUUGUUGCGGUUAAAAGCUCGUAGUUGGAUCUGUGUAUCGGACGGUCGGUUCGCCGCUCGCGGCGUUUAACUGACCGUUUCCGGACGUCCUGCCGGUGGUCGUUGGUCCGCGAGGGCCUUCGGCCGUCACCUCCCUCCGGGCUUCUCUUAACCGGGUGGCCCGGUGGGCCGGCACGUUUACUUUGAACAAAUUUGAGUGCUCAAAGCAGGCCUAUAGACGCCUGAAAACUGUGUGCAUGGAAUAAUGGAAUAGGACCUCUUUUCUAUUUUGUUGGCUUUUCUGAAACAGAGGUAAUGAUUAAUAGGGACAGACGGGGGCAUUCGUAUUGCGACGUUAGAGGUGAAAUUCUUGGAUCGUCGCAAGACGGACGGAUGCGAAAGCGUUUGCCAAGAAUGUUUUCGCUAAUCAAGAACGAAAGUUAGAGGUUCGAAGGCGAUCAGAUACCGCCCUAGUUCUAACCAUAAACGAUGCCAGCCAGCGAUGCGCCGAAGUUCCUCCGAUGACUCGGCGCGCAGCUUCCGGGAAACCAAAGCUUUUGGGUUCC
This 561-nucleotide ribosomal RNA is filed under the name Tricorythodes caunapi. Its description in RNAcentral is "SSU rRNA". It matches the Rfam family "Eukaryotic small subunit ribosomal RNA", at positions 593 to 1115 of the family's 1831-position model. The record is from RNAcentral. Lineage: Eukaryota; Metazoa; Arthropoda; Insecta; Ephemeroptera; Leptohyphidae.